This is an RNA transcript of Arachis stenosperma, 2197 nucleotides long. It is a transcript of the gene named putative glucose-6-phosphate 1-epimerase, with no coding region annotated. The transcript is spliced from 8 exons. NCBI's taxonomy places the organism in Eukaryota, Viridiplantae, Streptophyta, Magnoliopsida, Fabales, Fabaceae. The record is from RefSeq and is a predicted model, not a curated record.
UAAGAGGGGAAAAAUACAUUUAAAUUCCUAACGAUUUAAAAAUACAUUUAAGUCACUGAUUCUGGACAUAUUAAUCCUGUGUUCACUUGAGUCUGACAAACCCAAUGAAAAAAUCAAACAUGGCUUCUAUUGUACUGCCUGGUCGAUAUACGAAUACAUACGUAGGAGAAUUUUUAAAAUAUGACAAAUUAGACCUAGGGAUUGAUAUGUCUAGAUUUUGAGAAAAUCAAAGACUUAAAUGUAUUUUCAAAUCGUUAGGGAUAUAAAUGUCUGCGGACCAAAAAGUUCAAAGGAUCUAUUUCUCCUUUUCUCUUGAUUUUAUGAUUCUAAAAACUGAAAGUGGAAUUUUAAUUAAGUUAGUUGAACAAUUUUAUAAAGUGUACAGACAAAUGAGUAAUGAAGUAACUUCGAAUAAAAAUAUAUAUAUAUUUUAAUUAUAAGCUCUUGUUAAGAGAAAAAUUGCACGAAAGAAGAAUGCAACAUAUAUAUGUUAGGGAAAAGAGAAGAGAAUGGCGGAUUUUAUUAAUGAUGUGUAAUGUGUAAUUUGUUUAUUAUAAUGGAAGGCUGAAAAAAUGAUAAUAUUAUAUAAUAUAUAGUAAGAGAGAGUUUGAAGAGGUAGCUAUAUAUAUAAAGCUGAGGAAGCUGCAUUGUGCGGUGACCCCAUUCAUCGGAGAUUAUUGUUAGUUCUUCUUGAAUCUGAGAGAGAAGGAAAGAAAGAAAGAAAGAAAGAUGUCACAGUCACGGCCAAAAGAAACGGUGUACGUGGAGCAGUGUAUGGGCGUUAAUGGCCUCGAGAAGAUCGUUCUCAGAGAAGUUCGUGGCUUCUCCGCGGAGGUAUAUUUGUACGGAGGUCAGGUUACAUCUUGGAAGAAUGAACUUGGGGAAGAAUUGCUCUUUGUCAGUAGUAAGGCUACUUUUACGCCUCCAAAAUCUAUCCGUGGAGGUAUUCCGUUAUGCUUUCCUCAAGUUUCAAAUCAUGGCCCUCUUGAACUACAUGGAUUUGCAAGGAACAGAUUUUGGACCUUAGAUCCUAAUCCCCCUCCAUUUCCAACAAACAGCACAACCAGAGCUUUUAUUGAUUUGAUUCUUAAGAACUCUGAAGAGGAUAUAAGGACUUGGCCUCACAGAUAUGAGUUUCGCCUGAGGGUAGCUUUGGCACCUACGGGAGAUUUGAUGAUGACAUCCCGCAUUCGAAACACAAAUACGGAUGGAAAAUCCUUUACUUUCACAUUUGCCUAUCAGACAUACCUCUAUGUUACUGACAUCAGUGAAGUGCGAAUAGAAGGAUUAGAAACACUGGAUUACCUGGACAACUUGAAGGAAAAAGUGCGAUUUACUGAACAAGGGGAUGCCAUAACAUUUGAAUCCGAGUGGUAUGGAAUCCAUGGGACAAAAAAGCAAAGACCAUAGCAGAUUUAGGGGAUGAUGAAUAUAAAAAUAUGCUGUGUGUCCAGUCUGCUUGUGUAGAAAAAGCAAUUACUCUCAAACCUGGUGAAGAGUGGAAAGGAAGGCAGGAAUUAUGUGCGGUGCCUUCCAGUUAUUGCAGUGGCCAACUUGAUCCAAAGAGAGUACUUUUGAGCUAUUAGAUCAAUGGGAUUGCCUUCGUCUUUGUACAGGUAUGAUGCAGUUAGGUGUAUUUCCUGAAGGAACUUUUGUUGUGUUAGCGGUGCUGCCAGAAAAUUGUUGCUUGGAUCUCUUGAGGUUUGAGGGCGGAUUCACUACUACCGAAAUUGUGUAUAUGGUUUUAGCCUUGAGUGUCUUCUGCAGCUUGAGCCGGAGAUGAACUAAGUUGGUGGAAAGAAUUUAGUAUACUUGUAGAUCUACGCAGCAUUUUCCAUUGGAAGAUUAGAACAACGCACUUGAUGCAUGUCUUCUUUUCUAAACAUCCCUCUCCUUAAUAGAUAAUAAUAGAUUUAUUGCACUAUUUCUUCUGCCUCGAAUGCAACUAGUUUACUAUUUAAUCGUGCUUGCUUUCUCUGCCCUACAAUUAAUUCCUCAUGAGGUUCCAUGAUAAGUGUUUUGUAUCAAAUAACUAACCAAAGGGCUGCUAUAUUUUCUGAUGCUGCAAUCCCAAUUCAAGACUUACAGUAACAGCCGCGAUUGAUGGAAGAGCUAUGAGAGUUGACAUGGAGAUACUGACUUUUUUUUUCCAUUCCAUUAAUCACUUGUUAUGUUGGAGAAAGAGAAGCAGAAAACA